UGCAUAGAAACACCGGCUGUCGUACGAUCACCAAAGUUAAGCAACGUCGAGCCUGGUAAGUAUCGAGAUGGGUGACCGUUUGGGAAUACCAGGUGCUGUAA
RNAcentral lists this ribosomal RNA (101 nucleotides) under Acanthosepion pharaonis. Lineage: Eukaryota; Metazoa; Mollusca; Cephalopoda; Sepiida; Sepiidae. The record is from RNAcentral.